AGUGAACGCUGGCGGUAGGCCUAACACAUGCAAGUCGAACGGCAGCACAGUAAGAGCUUGCUCUUACGGGUGGCGAGUGGCGGACGGGUGAGGAAUACAUCGGAAUCUACUUUUUCGUGGGGGAUAACGUAGGGAAACUUACGCUAAUACCGCAUACGACCUACGGGUGAAAGCAGGGGAUCUUCGGACCUUGCGCGAUUGAAUGAGCCGAUGUCGGAUUAGCUAGUUGGCGGGGUAAAUGCCCACCAAGGCGACGAUCCGUAGCUGGUCUGAGAGGAUGAUCGGCCACACUGGAAAUGAGACACGGUCCAGACUCCUACGGGAGGCAGCAGUGGGGAAUAUUGGACAAUGGGCGCAAGCCUGAUCCAGCCAUACCGAGUGGGUGAAGAAGGCCUUCGGGUUGUAAAGCCCUUUUGUUGGGAAAGAAAAGCAGCAGGUUAAUACCCCGCUGUUCUGACGGUACCCAAAGAAUAAGCACCGGCUAACUUCGUG
This 492-nucleotide ribosomal RNA is filed under the name uncultured bacterium. RNAcentral describes it as "partial 16S ribosomal RNA". It matches the Rfam family "Bacterial small subunit ribosomal RNA", at positions 29 to 507 of the family's 1533-position model. The record is from RNAcentral.